Molecule: ribosomal RNA, 752 nt
Filed under: uncultured archaeon
Lineage: Archaea
Description: bacterial SSU rRNA
Rfam family: Archaeal small subunit ribosomal RNA
Source: RNAcentral
GGAUAACCUGCCCUGCGGUGGGAAAUAACCCCGGGAAACUGGGGAUAAUGUCCCAUAGACUACGGAUACUGGAAUGUUCUGUAGUUCAAAGAUUUAUCGCCACAGGAUGGGUCUGCGGCCGAUUAGGUAGUUGUUGGGGUAACGGCCCAACAAGCCUUUGAUCGGUACGGGUUGUGGGAGCAAGAGCCCGGAGAUGGAUUCUGAGACACGAAUCCAGGCCCUACGGGGCGCAGCAGGCGCGAAAACUUUACAAUGCGGGAAACCGUGAUAAGGGAACUCCGAGUGUCCGUAAAUGCGGACUGUCCGUAUGUUUAAAAAGCAUGCGAAGAAAGGGCCGGGCAAGACCGGUGCCAGCCGCCGCGGUAAUACCGGCGGCUCGAGUGGUGGCCACUAUUACUGGGCUUAAAGCGUUCGUAGCUGGGUUGUUAAGUUUCUUGGGAAAUCUACCGGCUUAACCGAUAGGCGUCCAAGGGAUACUGGCAAUCUAGGGACCGGGAGAGGUGAGGGGUACUUCAGGGGUAGGAGUGAAAUCCUGUAAUCCUUGGGGGACCACCUGUGGCGAAGGCGCCUCACCAGAACGGCUCCGACAGUGAGGGACGAAAGCUGGGGGAGCAAACCGGAUUAGAUACCCGGGUAGUCCCAGCCGUAAACGAUGCGCGUUAGGUGUAUCGAUGACCACGAGUCAUCGAGGUGCCGAAGGGAAACCGUGAAACGCGCCGCCUGGGAAGUACGGUCGCAAGGCUGAAACUUAA